This 785-nucleotide long non-coding RNA is filed under the name Mustela putorius furo (domestic ferret). RNAcentral's name for it is "lncRNA (ENSMPUG00000026501.1)". The record is from RNAcentral. Lineage: Eukaryota; Metazoa; Chordata; Mammalia; Carnivora; Mustelidae.
NNNNNUCAACCUGUAUUUAUUCUUGUCUUUUUCAUCUCUUUCCCCUUUGUAAGAUGUGCCUCAAUCCACCGCAGGGGUCCUCAUGAAAGCGAUCUCCAAACCUCCAGUCCGCUCAGGGGUCUCUGUAAUUGUGCUCCCGUUCAAGUAAAUUCUGUAUGUUUUCGUCCUAGAAAUAGUCACAAUUAUAACAAAAUAAUCCAUCAUCUAACUAGUUGUUUGAUAUCGGUUUUAGUUCUUACAAUGAACGUUGCAUGCGGGCAAGGGUGUUCUGGUUCGACACUGACCCCCAGCUCCCAGGCCAGUGGCUUGAGCACAGCAGCCAUUCCAUAAAUGGUGGGGGAGCAAACAGGAUCCAAUUACUUUAUUAAUUUUCCUGACUGUUCUUUGGCGAUUACUCUAAUUCUAAAACUGCAGUCCUUGGGUUUCAACAGCAGUAAGGAUUGCUGCUUUGCUGACAAGUGCACUCUCUCCUUGUAGGCAAAUGGACCUGAGACUAAGCCUUCAGAAUCCAAAUUACCAUGGAAACAGCCUUGAGGCCUACCAGUUCGCUGUGCUUCUCACACUGGAGGGAGCUGGAGGCCCAGACAAGUCCGGGGUCCUGCAUUUCCUCCCAGCCGCCCUUCCUUCAGGUGUGAGGAGAACAAGUGAAAACAAGAGGCCCGAUUCUGCCCUUGAAGAGACUCCUCACGCUUUUCCUCAGAGCAUUCACUUUGGGAAACGUGUAAGUACCUUCUCUUCUCUUCUCUCUGUGGUGCGUAUAAGGCUUUUGAAAACUUGAUGGGCCU